AGAGUUUGAUCCUGGCUCAGGAUGAACGCUGGCGGCGUGCUUAACACAUGCAAGUCGAGCGAAGCACUUUAACGGAAUUCUUCGGAAGGAAGAUAAAGUGACUGAGCGGCGGACGGGUGAGUAACGCGUGGGUAACCUGCCUCACACAGGGGGAUAACAGUUAGAAAUGACUGCUAAUACCGCAUAAGACCACAGCACCGCAUGGUGCAGGGGUAAAAACUCCGGUGGUGUGAGAUGGACCCGCGUCUGAUUAGGUAGUUGGUGAGGUAACGGCUCACCAAGCCGACGAUCAGUAGCCGACCUGAGAGGGUGACCGGCCACAUUGGGACUGAGACACAGCCCAAACUCCUACGGGAGGCAGCAGUGGGGAAUAUUGCACAAUGGGCGAAAGCCUGAUGCAGCGACGCCGCGUGAAGGAAGAAGUAUUUCGGUAUGUAAACUUCUAUCAGCAGGGAAGAAAAUGACGGUACCUGACUAAGAAGCCCCGGCUAACUACGUGCCAGCAGCCGCGGUAAUACGUAGGGGGCAAGCGUUAUCCGGAUUUACUGGGUGUAAAGGGAGCGUAGACGGCUCUGUAAGUCUGGAGUGAAAACCCGGGGCUCAACCCCGGGACUGCUUUGGAAACUAUGGAGCUAGAGUGUCGGAGAGGUAAGUGGAAUUCCUAGUGUAGCGGUGAAAUGCGUAGAUAUUAGGAGGAACACCAGUGGCGAAGGCGGCUUACUGGACGAUGACUGACGUUGAGGCUCGAAAGUGUGGGGAGCAAACAGGAUUAGAUACCCUGGUAGUCCACACUGUAAACGAUGAAUGCUAGGUGUAGGGGGUAUCGACCCCUUCUGUGCCGGAGUUAACACAAUAAGCAUUCCGCCUGGGGAGUACGGCCGCAAGGUUGAAACUCAAAGAAAUUGACGGGGGCCCACACAAGCAGCGGAGCAUGUGGUUUAAUUCGAAGCAACGCGAAGAACCUUACCAGGUCUUGACAUCCAAUAAAACUUGUAGAGAUACAUCGUGCCUUCGGGCGUAUUGAGACAGGUGGUGCAUGGUUGUCGUCAGCUCGUGUCGUGAGAUGUUGGGUUAAGUCCCGCAACGAGCGCAACCCUUGUGAUCAGUUACUAACGGAUAAUGCCGAGGACUCUGAUAAGACUGCCGGGGACAACUCGGAGGAAGGUGGGAACGACGUCAAAUCAUCAUGCCCCUUAUGUCCCGGGCUACACACGUAAUACAAUGGCGGUCAACAGAGGGAAGCAAAACCGCGAGGCAGAGCAAACCCCUAAAAGCCGUCUCAGUUCGGAUUGCAGGCUGCAACUCGCCUGCAUGAAGUUGGAAUUGCUAGUAAUCGUGGAUCAGCAUGCCACGGUGAAUACGUUCCCGGGCCUUGCACUCACAGCCCGUCA
RNAcentral lists this ribosomal RNA (1391 nucleotides) under uncultured bacterium. RNAcentral's name for it is "16S ribosomal RNA". It matches the Rfam family "Bacterial small subunit ribosomal RNA". The record is from RNAcentral.